GUGCCAGCAGCCGCGGUAAAACCAGCACCUCAAGUGGUCAGGAGGAUUAUUGGGCCUAAAGCAUCCGUAGCCUGCUUUGUAAGUUUUCGGUUAAAUCCAUAUGCUCAACAUAUGGGCUGCCGGGAAUACUGCAUAGCUAGGGAGUGGGAGAGGUAGACGGUACUCCGUAGGAAGGGGUAAAAUCCUUUGAUCUAUGGAUGACCACCUGUGGCGAAGGCGGUCUACCAGAACACGUCCGACGGUGAGGGAUGAAAGCUGGGGGAGCAAACCGGAUUAGAUACCCGGGUAGUCCCAGCUGUAAACUAUGCAAACUCAGUGAUGCAUUGGCUUGUGGCCAGUGCAGUGCCGCAGGGAAGCCGUUAAGUUUGCCGCCUGGGAAGUACGUACGCAAGUAUGAAACUUAAAGGAAUUGGCGGGGGAGCACCACAAGGGGUGAAGCCUGCGGUUCAAUUGGAGUCAACGCCAGAAAUCUUACCCGGAGAGACAGCAGAAUGAAGGUCAAGCUGAAGACUUUACCAGACAAGCUGAGAGGUGGUGCAUGGCCGUCGUCAGCUCGUGCCGUGAGAUGUCCUGUUAAGUCAGGUAACGAGCGAGAUCCCUGCCUCUAGUUGCCACCAUUACUCUCAGGAGUAGUGGGGCGAAUUAGAGGGACCGCUGCAGUUAAUGUGGAGGAAGGAAGGGGCCACGGCAGGUCAGUAUGCCCCGAAACUCUGGGGCCACACGCGGGCUGCAAUGGUAGUGACAAUGGGUCCCGAAUCCGAAAGGAGGAGGCAAUCCUCAAACGCUACCUCAGUUAUGAUUGAGGGCUGUAACUCGCCCUCAUGAAUAUGGAAUCCCUAGUAACUGCGUGUCAUUACCGCGCGGUGAAUACGUCCCUGCUCCUUGCACACACCGCCCGUC
This 900-nucleotide ribosomal RNA is filed under the name uncultured archaeon. RNAcentral's name for it is "bacterial SSU rRNA". It matches the Rfam family "Archaeal small subunit ribosomal RNA", at positions 455 to 1354 of the family's 1478-position model. The record is from RNAcentral.